CCCUUAGAUGUUCGGGGCCGCACGCGCGCUACACUGAAGGAAUCAGCACGUCUUUCUCCUUGUCCGAAAGGACUGGGUAACCCGCUGAACCUCCUUCGUGCUAGGGAUUGGGGCUUGUAAUUCUUCCCCAUGAACGAGGAAUUCCCAGUAAGCGCGAGUCAUAAGCUCGCGUUGAUUACAUCCCUGCCCUUUGUACACACCGCCCGUCGCUACUACCGAUUGGAUGGUUUAGUGAGAUCCUCGGAUUGGUCCCGGAGCGGCCUCUGGUCGUGCCGGAGUGCCGAAAAGAAUGUCGAACUUGAUCAUCUAGAGGAAGUAAAAGUCGUAACA
RNAcentral lists this ribosomal RNA (330 nucleotides) under uncultured eukaryote. Its description in RNAcentral is "partial 18S ribosomal RNA". It matches the Rfam family "Eukaryotic small subunit ribosomal RNA", at positions 1470 to 1796 of the family's 1831-position model. The record is from RNAcentral.